CAGGGAAGCCAAGCAGGAACAGUUGGAGCAUGGGGCUGCUGCUUUGAAGGAAUGGCAAGAGACCGCUCAAGUCCUGAGUGCUGCACUGAGCAAGAGUGAAAUUUCCAAAGGGGCUCUGAAGAAAGACUUGGACAUCCUGAAGGAAAGGCUUCGUCUCCAGCAGGCUGUUGGAGCAGAAGGGAAGCGGCUGUCAGAGCGCUCCAGGAAGGGUGUGGAAUGUGUGCGGGACCAGGUUGCAGCAGCAGCAAAAGACAAGCCAGAGAAGCGUGAGCUCAGGAGAACUUUUGAGGUGUCCUUGCUGCAGUCACAGCUGGCCCGAGACCGGCAGGACAACCUGGAGAGCUGUGCAGGGAGCAGGCAGGAGAUGCUCCCGUUGAGUCACAAGGACCUCCUUACUUCCUAGGCUUGUCAGAGAGGAGCCAGGGUGCAGCUGGAUGCAGUCGUAGCCUCAGAUUUUGUCCAUAGUUUAUGUUUAAAGGAUUGCAGGUGUAACUGUAGGAUUGUAGGAUAAUAGGUGUAGUCGUUGCAGCAGUCGUAGCCUCAGAUUUUGUCCAUAGGUUAUGUUUAAAGGAUUGCAGGUGUAACUGUAGGAUUGUAGGAUAAUAGGUGUAAUUGAACCUUUAUACAACUGUGUUCCAGAGGA
This is a long non-coding RNA of Corvus hawaiiensis (hawaiian crow), 643 nucleotides long. RefSeq lists it as uncharacterized. Lineage: Eukaryota; Metazoa; Chordata; Aves; Passeriformes; Corvidae. The record is from RefSeq and is a predicted model, not a curated record. The transcript has 3 exons.